RNA transcript from Psammomys obesus (fat sand rat), 2766 nucleotides. It is a transcript of the gene named WD repeat domain 20, with no coding region annotated. The transcript has 6 exons. Lineage: Eukaryota; Metazoa; Chordata; Mammalia; Rodentia; Muridae. The record is from RefSeq and is a predicted model, not a curated record.
AGGAUGAACGCUGCUUUCCAAGAUGGCGACGGAGGGAGGAGGGAAGGAGAUGAACGAGAUUAAGACCCAAUUCACCACCCGGGAAGGUCUGUACAAGCUGCUGCCGCACUCGGAGUACAGCCGGCCCAACCGGGUGCCCUUCAACUCGCAGGGAUCCAACCCUGUCCGCGUCUCCUUCGUAAACCUCAACGACCAGUCUGGCAACGGCGACCGCCUCUGCUUCAAUGUGGGCCGGGAGCUCUACUUCUAUAUCUACAAGGGGGUCCGCAAGGCUGCUGACUUGAGUAAACCAAUAGAUAAAAGGAUAUACAAAGGAACACAGCCUACUUGUCAUGACUUCAACCAUCUGACAGCCACAGCAGAGAGUGUGUCUCUCCUAGUGGGCUUUUCUGCAGGCCAAGUCCAGCUUAUAGAUCCAAUCAAAAAAGAAACUAGCAAGCUAUUUAAUGAGGAAAGACUAAUAGACAAGUCACGCGUAACCUGUGUCAAAUGGGUUCCUGGUUCGGAAAGCCUUUUCCUAGUAGCCCAUUCAAGUGGGAACAUGUACUUAUAUAAUGUGGAGCACACUUGUGGCACCACAGCCCCCCACUACCAGCUCCUGAAGCAGGGAGAGAGCUUUGCCGUGCACACUUGCAAAAGCAAAUCCACGAGGAACCCUCUCCUUAAGUGGACGGUUGGCGAGGGGGCCCUCAACGAGUUUGCUUUCUCCCCAGAUGGCAAGUUCUUAGCGUGUGUGAGCCAGGACGGGUUUCUGCGCGUGUUCAACUUUGACUCAGUGGAGCUGCACGGUACAAUGAAAAGCUACUUUGGGGGCUUGCUGUGUGUGUGCUGGAGCCCAGAUGGCAAGUACCUUGUGACAGGUGGAGAGGACGACUUGGUGACAGUCUGGUCCUUUCUAGACUGCCGAGUAAUAGCUAGAGGCCAUGGGCACAGGUCCUGGGUCAGUGUUGUAGCAUUUGACCCCUAUACUACUAGCGUAGAGGAAAGUGACCCUAUGGAGUUCAGCGGCAGUGACGAGGACUUCCAGGACCUUCUUCAUUUUGGCAGAGAUCGCGCGAACAGUACACAGUCUAGGCUGUCCAAACGGAACUCUACAGACAGCCGCCCUGUAAGUGUUACGUAUCGGUUUGGUUCCGUGGGCCAGGACACACAGCUGUGUUUAUGGGACCUUACAGAAGACAUCCUUUUCCCCCACCAACCCCUCUCAAGAGCAAGGACACAUACAAAUGUUAUGAAUGCCACAAGUCCGCCUGCCGGAAGCAAUGGGAACAGUGUCACUACGCCUGGAAACUCUGUUCCCCCUCCAUUGCCACGGUCCAAUAGCCUUCCACAUUCAGCAGUCUCCAAUGCUGGUAGCAAAAGCAGCGUCAUGGACGGGGCCAUAGCCUCUGGGGUCAGCAAGUUUGCAACUCUGUCGCUACAUGACCGGAAGGAGAGACACCACGAGAAAGACCAUAAACGAAAUCAUAGUAUGGGACACAUUUCCAGCAAGAGCAGUGACAAACUGAAUCUAGUUACUAAAGCCAAAACGGACCCUGCUAAAACUCUGGGAACAUCCCUGUGUCCGAGGAUGGAAGAUGUUCCCUUGUUAGAGCCGCUGAUCUGUAAAAAGAUAGCUCAUGAAAGACUGACUGUAUUGGUUUUUCUCGAAGACUGUAUAGUCACUGCUUGUCAGGAGGGAUUUAUUUGCACAUGGGCAAGGCCUGGUAAAGUGCCGGCAGAGCAGUUCUGCAGGCAGGAGGACAGAGUGCAAGGUGUUCUCCAAGACCAGAACUAAAGGGAUUGAGCCAAAGGACUCGACGCUUGCAGGCAGACACUGCACUUCUGAGCCACAUCCCAGCCCUCUGCAGAGGCUUAGAAGCUGUGCCCUUCUUUUAAAAGCAAUGCCCAGAGAGGUUGGGCAGCACCCGCAUCCAGGACCUGUGGACUCCAAAUGAACCCACACAGGGGCUUGUUGUCAUCCCCAAACCAAGCCAGUUCUCCAGGUGGGACUAUAGUGUAGCAGCUGCAGUGCUGCUCCCAGACUCCCCCGACACGAGUGGACUGAGGGAGUGACAGACGACACCGGAGCCAGGAGCUGCGCUGGAGCCACAAGCAGGCGGCAGGCAGCCCGGCCUGCAGGGCUGUGUGGAGCUGCUAACCCAAAGAGUUGUUUCCAUUUUUAAGUCAGUCUGCUGGGGCUGCAGUAAAAAAUGAGGAAUGGAGUUUUCUUGCUUUUUACUCUAAAAUUCAAUGUAACUAAAUCCCAUAUAAUAUAUAUAUAUAUACACACACACACACACACAUAUAUACAUAGUGUAAAGUAAAUCGUUUCUUGGACAAGAGACCUUAAUUCAGCUGUUUUAAAUAGCACUUGGCUCUGGUUUUGCACUGAUCUACUUUAUACUUCAGGUGGUCAUUAGCAGCCGGGGACACACUCAUGAAGACGGCUGCCACCUUCUGACCUAAACACGUGAUUCAGAAAGACAGAUGCUGCAAUCAUAGAUUUAAAAAAGUUGUUUGCACUUAAAAUAGUUUAAUGCUAAUAGAAAAUGGCGUUGACUAGGGUAGCGGACGCCCAGCCACCGCAGUGUGGAGUGGAGGCGCCCUUCUUAUCUGUUAACAUUUAUUUUAUACUGUUGUUUCCAAUGCAAUCAGUCUGUAUUAUAUGUGUAAAUAAUGUAAUUCUGAAAUGGGAGAAAUAGUUACUUCACUAGUAAUUUUCAUCAUUUAAGAGUGCUAUUUCUAAUUCACAAAGAUAUUAAUAUUAAAAUUAUCUUGAAUAUA